This 207-nucleotide ribosomal RNA is filed under the name uncultured bacterium. Its description in RNAcentral is "partial 16S ribosomal RNA". It matches the Rfam family "Bacterial small subunit ribosomal RNA", at positions 568 to 774 of the family's 1533-position model. The record is from RNAcentral. RNAcentral also lists the same sequence under 1 other name.
CGCGUAGGCGGAUUGGAAAGUUGGGGGUGAAAUCCCGGGGCUCAACCCCGGAACUGCCUCCAAAACUAUCAGUCUAGAGUUCGAGAGAGGUGAGUGGAAUUCCAAGUGUAGAGGUGAAAUUCGUAGAUAUUUGGAGGAACACCAGUGGCGAAGGCGGCUCACUGGCUCGAUACUGACGCUGAGGUGCGAAAGUGUGGGGAGCAAACA